AGAGUUUGAUCAUGGCUCAGAACGAACGCUGGCGGCAGGCCUAACACAUGCAAGUCGAGCGAGGUAGCAAUACCUAGCGGCGGACGGGUGAGUAACGCGUGGGAACGUACCCUUUGGUUCGGAAUAGCCCCGGGAAACUGGGAGUAAUACCGGAUACGGUCGAGAGACGAAAGAUUUAUCGCCGAAGGAUCGGCCCGCGUUGGAUUAGGUAGUUGGUGGGGUAAUGGCCUACCAAGCCGACGAUCCAUAGCUGGUUUGAGAGGAUGAUCAGCCACACUGGAACUGAGACACGGUCCAGACUCCUACGGGAGGCAGCAGUGGGGAAUAUUGGACAAUGGGCGCAAGCCUGAUCCAGCCAUGCCGCGUGUGUGAAGAAGGCCUUCGGGUUGUAAAGCACUUUCAGCGAGGAGGAAGGGUUAGUAGUUAAUAGCUGCUAAUUUUGACGUUACUCGCAGAAAAAGCACCGGCUAACUACGUGCCAGCAGCCGCGGUAAUACGUA
RNAcentral lists this ribosomal RNA (500 nucleotides) under uncultured bacterium. RNAcentral's name for it is "bacterial SSU rRNA". It matches the Rfam family "Bacterial small subunit ribosomal RNA", at positions 8 to 529 of the family's 1533-position model. The record is from RNAcentral.